Prosopis cineraria is the source of this 182-nucleotide long non-coding RNA. RefSeq lists it as uncharacterized. NCBI's taxonomy places the organism in Eukaryota, Viridiplantae, Streptophyta, Magnoliopsida, Fabales, Fabaceae. The transcript has 3 exons. The record is from RefSeq and is a predicted model, not a curated record.
GUUCUGCUUCCGUUGUGCUUUGAAUUUGUGCAGUUCUUCCAUGGCUUCUGGAACUUCAAUUACCGCACCUGAGGCCGUCCAGGUGCUGGUGUCGUUACUAGCCGAUGAUUCUCUCGCUGUUAGGGAGGCCUCCAGGGCCUCUCUCAAAGACAUUGCUGCUCUGAAUCCUCUUUUAGUUCUCG